AACGAACGCUGGCGGCAGGCCUAACACAUGCAAGUCGAGCGAAGCCUUCGGGCUUAGCGGCGGACGGGUGAGUAACGCGUGGGAACGUGCCCUUUGCUACGGAAUAGCCCCGGGAAACUGGGAGUAAUACCGUAUGUGCCCUUUGGGGGAAAGAUUUAUCGGCAAAGGAUCGGCCCGCGUUGGAUUAGGUAGUUGGUGGGGUAAUGGCCUACCAAGCCGACGAUCCAUAGCUGGUUUGAGAGGAUGAUCAGCCACACUGGGACUGAGACACGGCCCAGACUCCUACGGGAGGCAGCAGUGGGGAAUCUUAGACAAUGGGCGCAAGCCUGAUCUAGCCAUGCCGCGUGAUCGAUGAAGGCCUUAGGGUUGCAAAGAUCUUUCAGGUGGGAAGAUAAUGACUGUACCACCAGAAGAAGCCCCGGCUAACUCCGUGCCAGCAGCCGCAGUAA
RNAcentral lists this ribosomal RNA (449 nucleotides) under uncultured bacterium. RNAcentral describes it as "partial 16S ribosomal RNA". It matches the Rfam family "Bacterial small subunit ribosomal RNA", at positions 29 to 523 of the family's 1533-position model. The record is from RNAcentral.